This is a long non-coding RNA of Peromyscus eremicus (cactus mouse), 765 nucleotides long. RefSeq lists it as uncharacterized. The record is from RefSeq and is a predicted model, not a curated record. The transcript is spliced from 3 exons. NCBI's taxonomy places the organism in Eukaryota, Metazoa, Chordata, Mammalia, Rodentia, Cricetidae.
UCUCUAGCUGUGGAUGUGGGGUGGCAGGCACCAAGACUCUGUUUUCCUUACUAUGCUGUUGUCCAGGGUCCCAGACUCUCACAGGAGUCCAAUCUCUAAUUUCCAGGGAGCUCUAAUGACCACUCACCUCGGAACACAAUUAUGCAUCUUUAGCUUUUCUUUCUGGAAGAGCUGAGUGAUGAGCACCUCUGUCCAGCUAUCAGCCAGGAGGCUAUCUCUGCAACCUUUAGAGGAGGCUCAUUUCUGUGGGUGCCCAGGCGUGUGGAACUCAAGGACUCUGGGGAAGGAAAGCAUAUUCUGAAGAGAACUUCAACUGUGAUGAAACUGCAGACACAGCAGAGAUAAGAACACGGACCCCAUGAUCCUUAACAGAAAGUUUCCAAUUGAGGAAAUCGAGCUGCCUUAGAUAGAAGACAUCCAGGGACAGGGAAACUUCCCAUGGCAGACUACCCUCAAGAUGAAGGCAAAUCUCUGUUGGGGGAUGCUCCCCUGGGAUCAGAAGUCAUCACCCUGUAGGAACCAGACUGCUUCCCUAAAGUGGAGAGGUAACAACUUCUUUGGACCACCUUGCAAAACCAGAAUUGAGACACUAGUCAACCAGGCCACACCUUGAUCAGAACUGUUUCAUUAUGCACAUAUAUCUCCUGCCCUCUGCCUCAAUUCUUUCUCCAUUUAAACCUAAAGUUAAUGCUUCCCUGAAGAUGAACUUGGGGACAUUAGGCCUCUUUUCCCAAUAUGGUGACUGAGUCCCCUUUCUCUGUUUUA